UUUCGCAGAACGUUAUAGAUACAUAUGUACAUAAGUGGAACAAUUUUUUAGAAAGAUAUUGGUUAAGGCAAUUAAACUAACCACUUCCUUGAGACUGCCAUUUCCGUUGUAAAAUUGGACUAUUUUCUUCUGCUCCUUCAGCUUACAUAAAGAAAAGAAUAACAAACGUUGUACAUGGAUAUAUAGCAAGUGGUUUUGUCAACCAUCUCUUCUGUUGUUAGUUCUGCUGCAAAUACACACCCACAGUGCUUUUCAACGAGUCACACACACAUACACACAUAUUAAUGCAAUAUUUAUUUUUUUGACUUUAAACAGC
Long non-coding RNA from Bactrocera neohumeralis, 316 nucleotides. RefSeq lists it as uncharacterized. The record is from RefSeq and is a predicted model, not a curated record. NCBI's taxonomy places the organism in Eukaryota, Metazoa, Arthropoda, Insecta, Diptera, Tephritidae. The transcript is spliced from 2 exons.